GAUGAACGCUGGCGGCGUGCCUAAUACAUGCAAGUCGAGCGAACAGACGAGGAGCUUGCUCCUCUGACGUUAGCGGCGGACGGGUGAGUAACACGUGGAUAACCUACCUAUAAGACUGGGAUAACUUCGGGAAACCGGAGCUAAUACCGGAUAAUAUAUUGAACCGCAUGGUUCAAUAGUGAAAGACGGUUUUGCUGUCACUUAUAGAUGGAUCCGCGCCGCAUUAGCUAGUUGGUAAGGUAACGGCUUACCAAGGCAACGAUGCGUAGCCGACCUGAGAGGGUGACCGCCCAAACUGAACUUGGAAACGGUCCAAAACCCCAACGGGAGGAAGCGGUAGGAAAUCUUCCGCAAUGGGCGAAGGCCUGACGGGCAACGCCGCGUGAGUGAUGAAGGUCUUCGGAUCGUAAAACUCUGUUAUUAGGGAAGAACAAAUGUGUAAGUAACUAUGCACGUCUUGACGGUACCUAAUCAGAAAGCCACGGCUAACUACGUG
This 496-nucleotide ribosomal RNA is filed under the name uncultured bacterium. RNAcentral describes it as "partial 16S ribosomal RNA". It matches the Rfam family "Bacterial small subunit ribosomal RNA", at positions 28 to 507 of the family's 1533-position model. The record is from RNAcentral.